GACGAACGCUGGCGGCGUGCUUAACACAUGCAAGUCGAACGGAAAGGCCCUGCUUUUGUGGGGUGCUCGAGUGGCGAACGGGUGAGUAACACGUGAGUAACCUGCCCUUGACUUUGGGAUAACUUCAGGAAACUGGGGCUAAUACCGGAUAGGAGCUCCUGCUGCAUGGUGGGGGUUGGAAAGUUUCGGCGGUUGGGGAUGGACUCGCGGCUUAUCAGCUUGUUGGUGGGGUAGUGGCUUACCAAGGCUUUGACGGGUAGCCGGCCUGAGAGGGUGACCGGCCACACGGGAGCGGAGACGCGGUACGGGCACCUGCGGGAGGCGGGAGUAGGGAAUGUUCCGCAAUGGGCGAAAGGCUGACGGAGCGACGCCGCGUGGGAGACGAAGGUCGUCGGAUCGUAAAGCUGUGUGAUUAGGGAAGAACAAAUGUGGAAGUAACUAUGCACGUCUGGACGGUACCUAAUCAGAGAGCCACGGCUAACUACGUG
RNAcentral lists this ribosomal RNA (488 nucleotides) under uncultured bacterium. Its description in RNAcentral is "partial 16S ribosomal RNA". It matches the Rfam family "Bacterial small subunit ribosomal RNA", at positions 28 to 507 of the family's 1533-position model. The record is from RNAcentral.